Molecule: ribosomal RNA, 433 nt
Filed under: uncultured bacterium
Lineage: Bacteria
Description: partial 16S ribosomal RNA
Rfam family: Bacterial small subunit ribosomal RNA
Source: RNAcentral
AACGAACGCUGGCGGCAUGCCUAACACAUGCAAGUCGAACGAGACCUUCGGGUCUAGUGGCGCACGGGUGCGUAACGCGUGGGAACCUGCCCUUAGGUUCGGAAUAACUCCCCGAAAGGGGUGCUAAUACCGGAUAAUGUCUUCGGACCAAAGAUUUAUCGCCUUUGGAUGGGCCCGCGUUGGAUUAGCUAGUUGGUAGGGUAAAAGCCUACCAAGGCGACGAUCCAUAGCUGGUCUGAGAGGAUGCUCAGCCACACUGGGACUGAGACACGGCCCAGACUCCGACGGGAGGCAGCAGUGGGGAAUAUUGGACAAUGGGCGAAAGCCUGAUCCAGCAAUGCCGCGUGAGUGAUGAAGGCCUUAGGGUUGUAAAGCUCUUUUACCCGGGAUGAUAAUGACAGUACCGGGAGAAUAAGCUCCGGCUAACUCCGUG